This 419-nucleotide long non-coding RNA is filed under the name Lathyrus oleraceus (garden pea). RNAcentral describes it as "Pisum sativum (pea) long non-coding RNA (PSAT_LNC033241)". Lineage: Eukaryota; Viridiplantae; Streptophyta; Magnoliopsida; Fabales; Fabaceae. The record is from RNAcentral.
UAGGGAGGUGAUUCUGGCAUAGAGGAUGAUGAAGAAGAAGAAGUGCUUUGGUGAGUUUGUGCAGGUAUAGAGGGAGGAAUGAAGGUUCUGGCUAUGUUUAGAACUGGUGUAGGUUGGGAGGUUCUGGUGAUUGAGGGUGGGAUUUCAGAUGUAGUAUAAAUGGGUUGAGAGGAGAGAGGGUUAGAGGAAGCCAUCUGAAGAUUAGAGGAGACAGGAGGAACAGACUUACCAGUUGAGAUUUGCAGAGGAGCUGAAGAUCCGCUUCCAGAAGCUCCGUCAAGUCUGGCCUUCUUUGCUGGUGGUGCUAUCUUCCUCUCAGAAACACCUCUCUUGUAUCUGACUAAAUCUUCUUCAGAGUCCAGACAGUCAUCGAGGCUGAAAUCAGAGACAUCAAAACCUUCUUCCAGCAGACGAUGAAG